GAUGAACGCUGACAGAAUGCUUAACACAUGCCAGUCAACUUGAAUUUGGGUUUUUAACUUAGGUUUGGGUGGCGGACGGGUGAGUAACGCGUAAAGAACUUGCCUCACAGCUAGGGACAACAUUUGGAAACGAAUGCUAAUACCUAAUAUUAUGAUAAUAGGGCAUCCUAUAAUUAUGAAAGCUAUAAGCGCUGUGAGAGAGCUUUGCGUCCCAUUAGCUAGUUGGAGAGGUAACGGCUCACCAAGGCGAUGAUGGGUAGCCGGCCUGAGAGGGUGAUCGGCCACAAGGGGACUGAGACACGGCCCUUACUCCUACGGGAGGCAGCAGUGGGGAAUAUUGGACAAUGGACUGAGAGUCUGAUCCAGCAAUUCUGUGUGCACGAUGAAGUUUUUCGGAAUGUAAAGUGCUUUCAGUUGGGAAGAAACAAAUGACGGUACCAACAGAAGAAGUGACGGCUAAAUACGUG
Molecule: ribosomal RNA, 467 nt
Filed under: uncultured bacterium
Lineage: Bacteria
Description: partial 16S ribosomal RNA
Rfam family: Bacterial small subunit ribosomal RNA
Source: RNAcentral